RNAcentral lists this unclassified non-coding RNA (235 nucleotides) under Hevea brasiliensis (rubber tree). The record is from RNAcentral. Lineage: Eukaryota; Viridiplantae; Streptophyta; Magnoliopsida; Malpighiales; Euphorbiaceae.
GUUCAUACCAUUUCCAUUACGUAACUGGCUACUACAGAUACUUGACUCACUAAUCUCUACAGCAUCAAGCUCAUCUGCCAAUGGCAUUUUCAUCCUCCAGAUUGCUGUAGGUCUCGAUGAACGGAAAGUUUUACUUCUCGAUGCCUCUUUAACAGGUCUUGCUGCACCACCUAAAUAAUUAUCUGGCUUUAUCCUGGGUGUCAAUGCACCCUCAAAAGGCUCUUGCACAUCUGCA